GCCAGCAGCCAGAUCACCCUGCAGCUCACCACUGGCAGCCCACUGGAGCUCAGCAGGUGUGAGCCUGGUCAGUACCUUGAUGGGAGACCUCUGGGAAAAACUAAGGUUGCUGCUGGAA
RNAcentral lists this ribosomal RNA (118 nucleotides) under Lepisosteus oculatus (spotted gar). The record is from RNAcentral. Lineage: Eukaryota; Metazoa; Chordata; Actinopteri; Semionotiformes; Lepisosteidae.